This is a non-coding RNA of Prunus avium (sweet cherry), 294 nucleotides long. Lineage: Eukaryota; Viridiplantae; Streptophyta; Magnoliopsida; Rosales; Rosaceae. The record is from RefSeq and is a predicted model, not a curated record.
UUGAUACAGGUCUUUAGGGAGUUUUACCCAACAAAUGAGGAAUUUAUCAUUCUUGAGUGUGUGUUGAAAUCAGAUAAGUUUGAAUUGCUCGAGAGCACACAUAAGAGUGAGAUUGCAAGUCAUGAUGGGGAUCUUGCUGUAGGGGCAUCAUCUGUACUAUAUCAAAGUGUUGAGUCUUUCCUUGGAGAUGAUGAAAAUAUUCCCCAGACGGCAGAAGCAAGAAGCACCUUAAGUUCCGUCAUAACUAAAUGUUGGCCAACACAGAUACGAGGACCUGUUCCGAAUGGCAUGUAA